This 1373-nucleotide ribosomal RNA is filed under the name uncultured bacterium. RNAcentral's name for it is "bacterial SSU rRNA". It matches the Rfam family "Bacterial small subunit ribosomal RNA", at positions 28 to 1381 of the family's 1533-position model. The record is from RNAcentral.
GAUGAACGCUGGCGGCGUGCCUAAUACAUGCAAGUCGAGCGAACAGAUAAGGAGCUUGCUCCUUUGAAGUUAGCGGCGGACGGGUGAGUAACACGUGGGUAACCUACCUAUAAGACUGGGAUAACUUCGGGAAACCGGAGCUAAUACCGGAUAACAUUUAGAACCGCAUGGUUCUAAAGUGAAAGAUGGUUUUGCUAUCACUUAUAGAUGGACCCGCGCCGUAUUAGCUAGUUGGUAAGGUAACGGCUUACCAAGGCGACGAUACGUAGCCGACCUGAGAGGGUGAUCGGCCACACUGGAACUGAGACACGGUCCAGACUCCUACGGGAGGCAGCAGUAGGGAAUCUUCCGCAAUGGGCGAAAGCCUGACGGAGCAACGCCGCGUGAGUGAUGAAGGGUUUCGGCUCGUAAAACUCUGUUAUUAGGGAAGAACAAAUGUGUAAGUAACUGUGCACAUCUUGACGGUACCUAAUCAGAAAGCCACGGCUAACUACGUGCCAGCAGCCGCGGUAAUACGUAGGUGGCAAGCGUUAUCCGGAAUUAUUGGGCGUAAAGCGCGCGUAGGCGGUUUCUUAAGUCUGAUGUGAAAGCCCACGGCUCAACCGUGGAGGGUCAUUGGAAACUGGGAAACUUGAGUGCAGAAGAGGAAAGUGGAAUUCCAUGUGUAGCGGUGAAAUGCGCAGAGAUAUGGAGGAACACCAGUGGCGAAGGCGACUUUCUGGUCUGUAACUGACGCUGAUGUGCGAAAAGCGUGGGGAUCAAACAGGAUUAGAUACCCUGGUAGUCCACGCCGUAAACGAUGAGUGCUAAGUGUUAGGGGGUUUCCGCCCCUUAGUGCUGCAGCUAACGCAUUAAGCACUCCGCCUGGGGAGUACGACCGCAAGGUUGAAACUCAAAGGAAUUGACGGGGACCCGCACAAGCGGUGGAGCAUGUGGUUUAAUUCGAAGCAACGCGAAGAACCUUACCAAAUCUUGACAUCCUUUGAAAACUCUAGAGAUAGAGCCUUCCCCUUCGGGGGACAAAGUGACAGGUGGUGCAUGGUUGUCGUCAGCUCGUGUCGUGAGAUGUUGGGUUAAGUCCCGCAACGAGCGCAACCCUUAAGCUUAGUUGCCAUCAUUAAGUUGGGCACUCUAGGUUGACUGCCGGUGACAAACCGGAGGAAGGUGGGGAUGACGUCAAAUCAUCAUGCCCCUUAUGAUUUGGGCUACACACGUGCUACAAUGGACAAUACAAAGGGCAGCUAAACCGCGAGGUCAUGCAAAUCCCAUAAAGUUGUUCUCAGUUCGGAUUGUAGUCUGCAACUCGACUACAUGAAGCUGGAAUCGCUAGUAAUCGUAGAUCAGCAUGCUACGGUGAAUACGUUCCCGGGUCU